This 497-nucleotide ribosomal RNA is filed under the name uncultured bacterium. RNAcentral's name for it is "bacterial SSU rRNA". It matches the Rfam family "Bacterial small subunit ribosomal RNA", at positions 29 to 518 of the family's 1533-position model. The record is from RNAcentral.
AUGAACGCUAGCGACAGGCUAACACAUGCAAGUCGAGGGGUAACAGGGUAGCAAUACCGCUGACGACCGGCGCACGGGUGAGUAACGCGUAUGCAACCUGCCUAUAACUGGGGAAUAGCUCCCUGAAAGGGGGAAUUAACACCGCAUAACACUAUUGAUUCGCAUGGAUUAGUAGUUAAAUGUAGCGAUACAGGUUAUAGAUGGGCAUGCGUGACAUUAGCUAGUUGGUGAGGUAACGGCUCACCAAGGCUACGAUGUCUAGGGGUUCUGAGAGGAAGGUCCCCCACACUGGUACUGAGACACGGACCAGACUCCUACGGGAGGCAGCAGUGAGGAAUAUUGGUCAAUGGGCGCAAGCCUGAACCAGCCAUGUCGCGUGCAGGAAGACUCGCCCUAUGGGUUGUAAACUGCUUUUAUAGUAGAAGAAACACAUCUACGUGUAGAUGUCUGCCAGUAUACUAUGAAUAAGCAUCGGCUAACUCCGUGCCAGCCGCUGC